CCCAGAGUGAAAGACAGAGGAACCAAUCGAGGCUCGGCUGACCUCAGACGUCUAAGGCGAUAGGCGUUGCUAAGAAAAGGGGGUGGGACGAUACCCAGUUGCCAAGACGACGGCUUCCGGGUGGGCGGCUUGAGGUGGCUUCCGGCCGCCAGGCGAGACUCCGCGGGAAAACUCCCUGCUAGAGAGACUAGGAGAUUUGGGGCUGCGGCCGUUUCCUCCGGAGCACCCACGGGACUGUGUGCUGGGGUCCCUCCACCGGCUGUGUCCUUUAUUCUUCUUUCUCACCCAACGAUUUACCUGAACGGUUAUAAAGUGCACGUUAUUUCCCUAAGCACUUUGAGUAUAUUGGCCCACUGCAUUCUGGACUUCAAAAUUUCUGAUGCGAAAUAUGCUGAUACUUUUGUUGAAGAAAUCUGGUCCUUCUUACUGAUGUGUUGCUCUUCUUCAUGGCUCGUGAAAACUAUUAGAGUCAUCCAAGCUUCUAGCAGAGAUGGAAUAAUAGAGACCAGAUGUACCCUCCCAGCUGAAACAACAAAAAAAUACAGAACAAAAUAUAUAAAAGAAUGGUUUUCAAGGUACUAGACAUCACACAGUGAAGGACAGUGAUCCCAGAGAGAUGAGAAACAAACAAG
Molecule: long non-coding RNA, 632 nt
Filed under: Homo sapiens (human)
Lineage: Eukaryota; Metazoa; Chordata; Mammalia; Primates; Hominidae
Description: HSALNT0233302
Source: RNAcentral